RNAcentral lists this transfer RNA (68 nucleotides) under Heterocephalus glaber (naked mole-rat). It matches the Rfam family "tRNA". From Rfam's summary of the family: Transfer RNA (tRNA) molecules are approximately 80 nucleotides in length. Their secondary structure includes four short double-helical elements and three loops (D, anti-codon, and T loops). Lineage: Eukaryota; Metazoa; Chordata; Mammalia; Rodentia; Bathyergidae. The record is from Rfam by way of RNAcentral.
GAGAGUGUAGCUCAGUGGUAGAGCACUAGCCUAGCAUGCAUGAGGCUCUGGGUUCCAUCCCAGCACCA